This 681-nucleotide unclassified non-coding RNA is filed under the name Bombus terrestris (buff-tailed bumblebee). Its description in RNAcentral is "misc RNA ENSBTSG00005024047.1". The record is from RNAcentral. Lineage: Eukaryota; Metazoa; Arthropoda; Insecta; Hymenoptera; Apidae.
CAAUUGCCGGGUCUGCGUGGGUAGCUAAUAGUGCUGUGUCGUCGGCAAAUGUUGCUAUUGUUACCUCAUUUGAUAUAGGUAAGUCGGCAGUGUAGAUGGAGAACAGUAGGGGUCCGAGGACGCUACCUUGGGGUAUGCCGGAUUCUAUUGGGAAUGUUGCGGAAGAGGCGCCUAGGCAUUUAACUAUGAAUUGUCUGUUGGUUAGGUAGGAUUUUAAGAUGGAGUAGUAUGGAUGGGGUAGGAUCUUUUUGAUCUUGUAGAGUAGCCCUUCAUGCCAUACUUUGUCGAAUGCCUGUUGGAUGUUUAAGAAUACCGCUGAACAGUAUUUUUUCUUUUCAAGGGUUUGGCUGAUCAUGUGGGUUAUGCGGUGGAUUUGCUCUACUGUUGAGUGUUGUUUUCGGAAGCCGAAUUGGUGGUCUGGGGGUGUUUUCAAUUCUUUUAGGAGUGGGAGGAGACGAUUCGCGAGCAUCCUCUCGAAUAGUUUAGACAGGUUCGUUACUCGAAGAAUGUAAACGAAUACGCAGAGGGGUACAAGAGCAUCAUUUAUAUAGGGUCCGUAGCAACAGAAGCCGACCAAUCGCUGACGAGCAGCGUUCUCAUUGGUUCGGAAAUACAAUAAUUUUAUAAGCUGUUAUUUUAUAUUAUUUUUAUAAAUGAAUGAUCUUUCAACUUGAUAAUGUA